GACGAACGCUGGCGGCGUGCUUAACACAUGCAAGUCGAGCGGUAAGGCCCUUUCGGGGGUACACGAGCGGCGAACGGGUGAGUAACACGUGGGUGACCUGCCUUCAGCUCUGGGAUAAGCCUGGGAAACUGGGUCUAAUACCGGAUAUGACUCCGCGGUGCAUGCUGUGGGGUGGAAAGCCUUGUGCGGCUGGAGAUGGGCCCGCGGCCUAUCAGCUUGUUGGUGGGGUGAUGGCCUACCAAGGCGA
This 247-nucleotide ribosomal RNA is filed under the name uncultured Actinomycetes bacterium. RNAcentral's name for it is "uncultured actinobacterium partial 16S ribosomal RNA". It matches the Rfam family "Bacterial small subunit ribosomal RNA", at positions 28 to 276 of the family's 1533-position model. The record is from RNAcentral. Lineage: Bacteria; Bacillati; Actinomycetota; Actinomycetes.